CCAGGCAUCCGAGAAAAGAAAUGAUGGUGACGACGACUCCCGUGGCAAUGAGAAUGGAAGCCGAACUGACGUACAAGUCGGUGCCCAGCAACCGUUCCAUGAAUGACCGAUCCGCCAGGGUCCAGAUGCCCACGGCGAAGACCGCCACUCCGCCAACCUACGAUGACAAUCAGAAGUGAAAGCUUCGCACGAUUGCAUGCGGUAGUUACAUCUUAUCAUUCUUCUAUCGAUGAGAAGAUGCGACUCGAACACUGCCGCCAGAACAGCUACACAUUGUUAUCGAAUGUAAUCAUGAAAAGAACAGACAACACCUGAUACAAACGACCCAAAAGGACAGCACAAGGCACAAAGGUCUUGAAGACACUUUAUUUCCAAACGGCGCAACCAGUCAAAGAAGAAUAGUAAAGCGUACU
Molecule: long non-coding RNA, 413 nt
Organism: Ornithodoros turicata
Lineage: Eukaryota; Metazoa; Arthropoda; Arachnida; Ixodida; Argasidae
Exons: 3
Source: RefSeq, a predicted model, not a curated record